Molecule: ribosomal RNA, 485 nt
Filed under: uncultured bacterium
Lineage: Bacteria
Description: bacterial SSU rRNA
Rfam family: Bacterial small subunit ribosomal RNA
Source: RNAcentral
UGAACGCUAGCGGGAGGCUUAACACAUGCAAGUCGAGGGGUAACAGGAGAGAACUUCGGUUUUCUUGCUGACGACCGGCGCACGGGUGAGUAACGCGUAUGCAACCUGCCUCUUACUGGAGGAUAGCUUUCGGAAACGGAAAUUAAUACUCCAUACAGAUAUAAAAUGGCAUCAUUUAAUAUUUAAAGCUCCGGCGGUAAGAGAUGGGCAUGCGUAACAUUAGCUAGUUGGUAAGGUAACGGCUUACCAAGGCAACGAUGUUUAGGGGACCUGAGAGGGUGAUCCCCCACACUGGUACUGAGACACGGACCAGACUCCUACGGGAGGCAGCAGUGAGGAAUAUUGGUCAAUGGGCGCAAGCCUGAACCAGCCAUCCCGCGUGCAGGAAGACAGCCCUAUGGGUUGUAAACUGCUUUUAUAAGGGAAGAAUGUACGUAUCGUGAUAUGUUUUGACGGUACCUUAUGAAUAAGCAUCGGCUAACUCC